This 862-nucleotide long non-coding RNA is filed under the name Vitis vinifera (wine grape). RNAcentral's name for it is "long non-coding RNA (VVIN_LNC007375)". Lineage: Eukaryota; Viridiplantae; Streptophyta; Magnoliopsida; Vitales; Vitaceae. The record is from RNAcentral.
UAUUUAUUUGUUAAUUAAUUUUUCUCAUGAUGUGACAGUGCAUUUGUGUACGGUAUUCUAUUAGUUUGCUCAACAACCAUGCUUUGUGAAGAGAAAGGAAUUUGAUGGCAUUCACAUGCAAUUGUUUCCUCUCUCCUGUGUUUGCAGAAAAGAAAAUUUCCUUUUUACAAUAUUUAUGUUUGAAUAUAGCUUUCAUGAGGUUUUCAAAAAAAAAAAAAAAUAAAAUAAAAUAAAAUUAAAAUUUUGGCCUUUGUGUUUGUGACACAGCAUCCGUGCAAGGAGAUAGAUGAGUAGUAAUGAAAGCCGUCAUCUUUUAGAACUUGCUAAUCUUCUUAAAGAAAAUACCAAGAACUAGGCAUUUAUGUUCUUCUUAAGUCCAAUUAAUUAAUACCAAGACCCCCUAAGCCUUAACUAAAACAAUGUAUUUAUAAACCUAAUUCCUAAAAGAAAUAGGAAAAGAAUCAUGAAAUAAUUGACUUAAUUAUCUAAUGACAAUACGAAAAUGAAUAAGAAACUUAUAGAGUAGGAAAUCUAAAAAAAAUAGACCACGAAAAUUAAAAAUUAUUUAAAAUAAAUUAUCUUCAUGCACCAGGACUCCAUAAGUUUAUGAUUCCAAUCCUAGAGUUGGUGGACUAAGUAUUUUGUGCCACACAAAGGUGGAAAAUCUGUGUUGAAGUUUAGCCCUUGUGACAUUAACUACAAUUACAUUGAGUACUUUAAAAAAGUUGUGUGAUUUUUUUAUGCCAAAUAUUAACUUGGAGAUGUUAUUUUCUAAUUUGGAGGGGCUACAUAUUUUCAUUAGUAGCCAGAGUGCAUGCAGUGAUUUUUGGUAAUUUGGGAAGGCAGUUGGUACCUACAGAGG